GAUGAACGCUGGCGGCGUGCCUAAUACAUGCAAGUCGAGCGAACAGACGAGGAGCUUGCUCCUCUGACGUUAGCGGCGGACGGGUGAGUAACACGUGGAUAACCUACCUAUAAGACUGGGAUAACUUCGGGAAACCGGAGCUAAUACCGGAUAACAUGUUGAACCGCAUGGUUCAACAGUGAAAGACGGUUUUGCUGUCACUUAUAGAUGGAUCCGCGUCGCAUUAGCUAGUUGGUAAGGUAACGGCUUACCAAGGCAACGAUGCGUAGCCGACCUGAGAGGGUGAUCGGCCACACUGGAACUGAGACACGGUCCAGACUCCUACGGGAGGCAGCAGUAGGGAAUCUUAGACAAUGGGGGCAACCCUGAUCUAGCCAUGCCGCGUGAGUGAUGAAGGCCUUAGGGUUGUAAAGCUCUUUCAGCUGGGAAGAUAAUGACGGUACCAGCAGAAGAAGCCCCGGCUAACUCCGUG
Molecule: ribosomal RNA, 472 nt
Filed under: uncultured bacterium
Lineage: Bacteria
Description: partial 16S ribosomal RNA
Rfam family: Bacterial small subunit ribosomal RNA
Source: RNAcentral